RNAcentral lists this ribosomal RNA (253 nucleotides) under uncultured bacterium. Its description in RNAcentral is "partial 16S ribosomal RNA". It matches the Rfam family "Bacterial small subunit ribosomal RNA", at positions 524 to 776 of the family's 1533-position model. The record is from RNAcentral.
AACGUAGGUCACAAGCGUUGUCCGGAAUUACUGGGUGUAAAGGGAGCGCAGGCGGGGAGAUAAGUUGGGAGUGAAAACUAUGGGCUCAACCCAUAAAUUGCUUUCAAAACUAUCUUUCUUGAGUAGUGCAGAGGUAGGCGGAAUUCCCGGUGUGGCGGUGGAAUGCGUAGAUAUCGGGAGGAACACCAGUGGCGAAGGCGGCCUACUGGGCACCAACUGACGCUGAGGCUCGAAAGUAUGGGUAGCAAACAGG